This 252-nucleotide ribosomal RNA is filed under the name uncultured bacterium. RNAcentral describes it as "partial 16S ribosomal RNA". It matches the Rfam family "Bacterial small subunit ribosomal RNA", at positions 524 to 776 of the family's 1533-position model. The record is from RNAcentral.
UACGUAGGAUGCGAGCGUUAUCCGGAUUUAUUGGGUUUAAAGGGUGCGUAGGCGGAUCGUUAAGUCAGUGGUCAAAUUGAGGGGCUCAACCCCUUCCCGCCAUUGAAACUGGCGAUCUUGAGUGGAAGAGAAGUAUGCGGAAUGCGUGGUGUAGCGGUGAAAUGCAUAGAUAUCACGCAGAACCCCGAUUGCGAAGGCAGCAUGCCGGCUUCCUACUGACGCUGAAGCACGAAGGCGUGGGGAUCGAACAGG